GGCCAGACUCCUACGGGAGGCAGCAGUGGGGAAUAUUGCACAAUGGGGGAAACCCUGAUGCAGCGACGCCGCGUGAGUGAAGAAGUAUUUCGGUAUGUAAAGCUCUAUCAGCAGGGAAGAAAAUGACGGUACCUGAUUAAGAAGCCCCGGCUAACUACGUGCCAGCAGCCGCGGUAAUACGUAGGGGGCAAGCGUUAUCCGGAUUUACUGGGUGUAAAGGGAGCGUAGACGGCAAUACAAGUCGGAAGUGAAAUACCCGGGCUCAACCUGGGAACUGCUUUGGAAACUGUAUGGCUGGAGUGCUGGAGAGGUAAGCGGAAUUCCUAGUGUAGCGGUGAAAUGCGUAGAUAUUAGGAGGAACACCAGUGGCGAAGGCGGCUUACUGGACAGUAACUGACGUUGAGGCUCGAAAGCGUGGGGAGCAAACAGGAUUAGAUACCCCCGUA
Molecule: ribosomal RNA, 446 nt
Filed under: uncultured bacterium
Lineage: Bacteria
Description: bacterial SSU rRNA
Rfam family: Bacterial small subunit ribosomal RNA
Source: RNAcentral